This 442-nucleotide ribosomal RNA is filed under the name uncultured bacterium. RNAcentral's name for it is "partial 16S ribosomal RNA". It matches the Rfam family "Bacterial small subunit ribosomal RNA", at positions 338 to 795 of the family's 1533-position model. The record is from RNAcentral.
CCUACGGGAGGCAGCAGUAGGGAAUCUUUCACAAUGGGCGAAAGCCUGAUGGAGCAACGCCGCGUGCAGGAUGAAGGCCUUCGGGUUGUAAACUGCUUUUAUAAGCGAGAAAUAUGAUGGUAACUUAUGAAUAAGGAUCGGCUAACUACGUGCCAGCAGCCGCGGUCAUACGUAGGAUCCGAGCAUUAUCCGGGGUGACUGGGUGUAAAGAGUUGCGUAGGUGGCAUAAUAAGUAGCUAGUGAAAUCUGGUGGCGCAACCAUUCAGACUAUUAGCUAAACUGUUAAGCUCGAGACCGUUAGGGGUAACUGGAAUUUCUAGUGUAGGAGUGAAAUCCGUAGAUAUUAGAAGGAACACCAAUAGCGUAGGCAGGUUGCUGGGACGGUUCUGACACUAAGGCACGAAAGCGUAGGGAGCAAACAGGAUUAGAUACCCCAGUAGUC